RNAcentral lists this ribosomal RNA (468 nucleotides) under uncultured bacterium. RNAcentral describes it as "partial 16S ribosomal RNA". It matches the Rfam family "Bacterial small subunit ribosomal RNA", at positions 28 to 507 of the family's 1533-position model. The record is from RNAcentral.
GACGAACGCUGGCGGCGUGCCUAACACAUGCAAGUCGAACGGAAAGGCCCGGCUUUUGUGGGGCGCUCGAGUGGCGAACGGGGGAGUAACACGUGAGUAACAUGCCCUUGACUGUGGGAUAACUUCAGGAAACUGGGGCUCAUACCGGAUAGGAGCUACUGCAGCAUGGGGGGGGUUGGAAAGUUUCGGCCGUUUGGGCUAGACUCGCGGCUUAUCAGCUUGUUGGUGGGGUAGUGGCGGACAAAGGCUGUGACGGGUAGCCGGCCUGAGAGGUGGGCCGGCCACAAUGCGCCUGCGGUACGGCCCAGACUCCAAUGUGACGCAGCGGGGGAGAACCUUACACAGUGGGCGGGCGCCUGAUGUGGCAGCCCCGCGAGCGGGAUGACGGCCUUCGGGUUGUGAACCGCUUUCGCCUGUGCCGAGGCGUGAGUGACGGUAAUGGGUAAAGAAGCACCGGCUAACUACGUG